This 1023-nucleotide ribosomal RNA is filed under the name uncultured eukaryote. Its description in RNAcentral is "bacterial SSU rRNA". It matches the Rfam family "Eukaryotic small subunit ribosomal RNA", at positions 714 to 1762 of the family's 1831-position model. The record is from RNAcentral.
UAUGUUGCUUCAUUGCUUCAUAUGAAUCUUUAGGGCAUUUACUUGAGAAAUUAGAGUGUUUCAAGCAGGCAUUAGCGCCUUGAAUACAUUAGCAUGGAAUAAUAAGAUAGGACUUUGGUUCUAUUUUGUUGGUUUCUGGAACUGAAGUAAUGAUUAAUAGGGAUAGUCGGGGGCAUUCGUACUUAACUGUCAGAGGUGGAAUUCUUGGAUUUGUUAAAGACGAACUACUGCGAAAGCAUUUGCCAAGGAUGUUUUCAUUGAUCAAGAACGAAAGUUAGGGGAUCGAAGACGAUUAGAUACCGUCCUAGUCUUAACCAUAAACCAUGCCGACUAGAGAUUGGAGGAUGUUAUUAAUAGGACACCUUCAGCACCUCGUGAGAAAUCAAAGUCUUUGGGUUCCGGGGGGAGUAUGGUCGCAAGGCUGAAACUUAAAGGAAUUGACGGAAGGGCACCACCAGGAGUGGAGCCUGCGGCUUAAUUUGAUUCAACACGGGAAACCUCACCAGGUCCAGACAUAGUUAGGAUUGACAGAUUGACAGCUCUUUCUUGAUUCUAUGGGUGGUGGUGCAUGGCCGUUCUUAGUUGGUGGAGUGAUCUGUCUGGUUAAUUCCGUUAACGAACGAGACCUUAGCCUGCUAAAUAGUUACCAUAAACCUUCGGGUUUGUCGGUUGACUUCUUAGAGGGACUUUGCGUGUUUAACGCAAGGAAGUUUGAGGCAAUAACAGGUCUGUGAUGCCCUUAGAUGUUCUGGGCUGCACGCGCGCUACACUGACACGUUCAACAAGUAUUUCCUUUCCCGGCAGGGUUGGGUAAUCUUAUUAAAUCGUGUCGUGAUGGGGAUAGAUUAUUGCAAUUAUUAAUCUUCAACGAGGAAUUCCUAGUAAAUGCAAGUCAUCAGCUUGCGUUGAUUAUGUCCCUGCCCUUUGUACACACCGCCCGUCGCUCCUACCGAUUGAAUGAUCCGGUGAAUAAUUCGGACUGCGGCUUUGUAGUUUACUGCAUGGCUGUGGGAAGUUUGGUGA